This 477-nucleotide ribosomal RNA is filed under the name uncultured bacterium. Its description in RNAcentral is "SSU rRNA". It matches the Rfam family "Bacterial small subunit ribosomal RNA", at positions 26 to 521 of the family's 1533-position model. The record is from RNAcentral.
AGGAUGAACGCUGGCGGCGUGCCUAACACAUGCAAGUCGAACGUCCUGUCUCGCAAGAGGCAGGGAGUGGCGGACGGGUGAGUACCACGUGGGUCAUCUACCGUGAGGUGAGGAAUACCGGCGAGAAAUCGCCGACAAGACCGCAUAGGCUCGAUGCAAGUCGAGCAAAGCUCUUUCGAGAGAGGGAGCGCCACACGAGGAGCCUGCGCCCGAUUAGCUAGCUGGUGGAGUAACGGUUCACCAGGGCGACGAUCGGUAGCUGGUCUGAGAGGACGAUCAGCCACACUGGGAUUGAGAACGGCCCAGACUCCUACGGGGGGCAGCAGUGAGGAAUUUUCGUCAAUGGGGGCAACCCUGAACGAGCAACGCCGCGUGCAGGAAGAAGGUUUUCGGAUCGUAAACUGCUUUUCUCGGGGUAAGAGAACGGACGGUACCCGAGGAAUCAGCCCCGGCUAACUACGCGCCAGCAGCCGCGGU